Patella vulgata (common limpet) is the source of this 1078-nucleotide long non-coding RNA. RefSeq lists it as uncharacterized. The record is from RefSeq and is a predicted model, not a curated record. NCBI's taxonomy places the organism in Eukaryota, Metazoa, Mollusca, Gastropoda, Patellidae. The transcript is spliced from 6 exons.
CAAUUCGAGUAUUAUCUAGGGUUCAUAUAAAUGAGAGGGGAUCUGGGUAACUAGUACAGGACGCCAGGAAGAUAUCCUUAUAAGAUAUACAGAUCUCACCAAGCUGUCUACAAAAAAGAAAAUUUAAUAUGAAUUGGUGGAUACUUGUCGCAAUUUCUGCUGCUACAACAACAUAUGUCCAAGCUGAUACAUGUGCCGAAUGUAUAGAGGCAUACAGCAAGAGUUCACAGUCAUGCACGGAUGCAAAUACUUACUCAACGUGUGCAACUGAUUCUGCUAGCGAUGCUUGCAGUACCACUGAAAAAAGUACAGCCACUGAUGCAAUUGCAUCCAAAUGUACAACUGCUACAUGUAAUAACUGUACCACUGCAUAUGAUACUGGUGUGGCCGCGGCUGAUGCUAAUAAUUGCACUGUAGCUGAGACAUAUGUAACAUGUUUAAAUGGUGUGAGUGAUAACUGUACUGAUACUACUGGUACCACUGUAACACUGGCUGACACAAAAACAGAAGCUGGCAAGAAGGAGACAGAAUUUUGCAAUUCCGCUGGUAGUUUAAAUGUUUCUGUGAUGCUUACUUCAUUGAUGAUGGCUGUCGUUUCCUUAGUUCGAGUAUAAAUUUCAUAAAUCCCAACACUGUUGUUUUUAUUUAUUUCUAACAAUGUCAAUACUAUAGCUUUAAAUAUGUGAAUUUUUUGUUAAUUUAUAAAAUUGAAGGUAAUAUUUUAUAGCAGCAGUGUAGAACUUCUAUUGUCGAUUUAAGAUCUUCCAUAUACAUGUACGUAGAACUUCUAUCGCAGAUUUAAGACCCUCUCAAAAAUUUUAGUCUCACAGGAUUGUAUAACAAAAAACUUUUAUAUAAUACAUUAUUAUUGGUGUGAUAGUUGUAAACUGUUAUUUCUUUAAUUAUCAAAGUGUUUAAAAUGUUUUAUAUUAUUGUUUAAGAUUUAUUUUAAUACACGUAGAACUUCUGUUUGAUUUUGUUUCUCGAACUGAUGUUUAGCCGGUAUGAUGUUAGUUUGAUUUUAACUGACGGAUAAAAAUAAAGGUUGUAUGAAUUUCGGAAAUAAAACCUGAAAACA